This 489-nucleotide ribosomal RNA is filed under the name uncultured bacterium. Its description in RNAcentral is "partial 16S ribosomal RNA". It matches the Rfam family "Bacterial small subunit ribosomal RNA", at positions 30 to 507 of the family's 1533-position model. The record is from RNAcentral.
AUUGAACGCUGGCGGCAGGCCUAACACAUGCAAGUCGAACGGUAACAGGAAGCAGCUUGCUGCUUCGCUGACGAGUGGCGGACGGGUGAGUAAUGUCUGGGAAGCUGCCUGAUGGAGGGGGAUAACUACUGGAAACGGUAGCUAAUACCGCAUAUGUCGCAAGACCAAAGAGGGGGACCUUCGGGCCUCUUGCCAUCGGAUGUGCCCAGAUGGGAUUAGCUUGUUGGUGGGGUAACGGCUCACCAAGGCGACGAUCCCUAGCUGGUCUGAGAGGAUGACCAGCCACACUGGAACUGAGACACGGUCCAGACUCCUACGGGAGGCAGCAGUGGGGAAUAUUGCACAAUGGGCGCAAGCCUGAUGCAGCCAUGCCGCGUGUAUGAAGAAGGCCUUCGGGUUGUAAAGUACUUUCAGCGGGGAGGAAGGGAGUAAAGUUAAUACCUUUGCUCAUUGACGUUACCCGCAGAAGAAGCACCGGCUAACUCCGUG